RNAcentral lists this ribosomal RNA (1534 nucleotides) under Withania somnifera. Its description in RNAcentral is "bacterial LSU rRNA". It matches the Rfam family "Bacterial large subunit ribosomal RNA", at positions 1390 to 2925 of the family's 2925-position model. Lineage: Eukaryota; Viridiplantae; Streptophyta; Magnoliopsida; Solanales; Solanaceae. The record is from RNAcentral.
CCUAAGGCGAGGCCGAAAGGCGUAGUCGAUGGGAAACAGGUUAAUAUUCCUGUACUUGGUGUUACUGCGAAGGGGGGACGGAGAAGGCUAUGUUGGCCGGGCGACGGUUGUCCCGGUUUAAGCGUGUAGGCUGGUUUUCCAGGCAAAUCCGGAAAAUCAAGGCUGAGGCGUGAUGACGAGGCACUACGGUGCUGAAGCAACAAAUGCCCUGCUUCCAGGAAAAGCCUCUAAGCAUCAGGUAACACGAAAUCGUACCCCAAACCGACACAGGUGGUCAGGUAGAGAAUACCAAAGCGCUUGAGAGAACUCUGCUGAAGGAACUAGGCAAAAUGGUACCGUAACUUCGGGAGAAGGUACGCUGCUGACGGUGAUGGGACUUGCUCCCUGAGCGGUUGGCAGCCGCAGAAACCAGGCCGCUGCAACUGUUUAUUAAAAACAUAGCACUCUGCAAACACGAAAGUGGACGUAUAGGGUGUGAUGCCUGCCCGGUGCUGGAAGGUUAAUUGAUGGGGUUAGCGUAAGCGAAGCUCUUGAUCGAAGCCCCAGUAAACGGCGGCCGUAACAAUAACGGUCCUAAGGUAGCGAAAUUCCUUGUCGGGUAAGUUCCGACCUGCACGAAUGGCAUAAUGAUGGCGGCGCUGUCUCCAGCAGAGGCUCAGUGAAAUCGAAAUCGCUGUGAAGAUGCAGUGUACCCGCGGCUAGACGGAAAGACCCCGUGAACCUUUACUGCAGCUUGACACUGAACUUUGACCUUACUUGUGUAGGAUAGGUGGGAGGCUUUGAAGUUGGAACGCUAGUUCCAAUGGAGCCGUCCUUGAAAUACCACCCUGGUAAUGUUGAGGUUCUAACUCUGUCCCGUUAUCCGGGACGAGGACCAUGUCUGGUGGGUAGUUUGACUGGGGCGGUCUCCUCCUAAAGAGUAACGGAGGAGUACGAAGGUGCGCUCAGCGUGGUCGGAAAUCACGCGUAGAGUAUAAAGGCAAAAGCGCGCUUAACUGCGAGACCCACAAGUCGAGCAGGUACGAAAGUAGGUCUUAGUGAUCCGGUGGUUCUGUAUGGAAGGGCCAUCGCUCAACGGAUAAAAGGUACUCUGGGGAUAACAGGCUGAUACCGCCCAAGAGUUCAUAUCGACGGCGGUGUUUGGCACCUCGAUGUCGGCUCAUCUCAUCCUGGGGCUGAAGCAGGUCCCAAGGGUAUGGCUGUUCGCCAUUUAAAGAGGUACGUGAGCUGGGUUUAGAACGUCGUGAGACAGUUCGGUCCCUAUCUACCGUGGGCGUUGGAAAUUUGAGAGGAUCUGCUCCUAGUACGAGAGGACCAGAGUGGACGAACCUCUGGUGUACCGGUUGUGACGCCAGUCGCAUCGCCGGGUAGCUAUGUUCGGAAGGGAUAACCGCUGAAAGCAUCUAAGCGGGAAGCCUACCUCAAGAUAAGAUUUCCCUAAAGAGCCGUUGUAGACUACGACGUUGAUAGGUUGGGUGUGGAAGCAUAGUGAUAUGUGUAGCUAACCAAUACUAAUUGCUCGUUUGGCUUGACU